AGGGAAGAAGAAACUCCCAAGGGCCAGGCUCCUAGAUGGGCGUGUUCACUUAUGUCACUGGAUCUCACAAAAAGCCCUAUAAGGAUCUUGUUGCUAUUCCAACUUUACAGAUAAGGAAGCUGGAGACUCCGAGAAGGAAAGAGACGGACGCUGAGCCUCAAAGACAGAAUGGCCUGCUUCCUUUCACGCGGUUGGUAGUUGAACCACACCCAGGUGAGCCACCUGGGCAGCCGUCACAUGCCAAUCACGUCACAAGGGUUGCCAAAGCCUGCGUUCCACCCCGUCCCUUCCAUGUCGCAAGGCCACACAGCGGACACAGAUUCCUUCCCGUCGAGUCAGCAGGGGAAUAAGUGGCAGACAGGCCGAAAUAAGUCAA
Long non-coding RNA from Leopardus geoffroyi (Geoffroy's cat), 376 nucleotides. RefSeq lists it as uncharacterized. The record is from RefSeq and is a predicted model, not a curated record. The transcript is spliced from 2 exons. Lineage: Eukaryota; Metazoa; Chordata; Mammalia; Carnivora; Felidae.